ACUUUGUACUCGAGUCUCGUUCCCGCUGACGUCACAUAUUGCGUAAAUUUUUGGUACUGAGAACCGUCAGGAUGGUGUUUGAUUUUACAUAGAGCAAUAUACCAAAAAUCAAUAGAUCAGAUCAGAUUUUGUAAUUUAGAUAUGAUAAGAAUAAUUAUCAUUAAUAAUUUAAAGCGCUACAGGUUGAUGUGCAUCUUUUUUGUAAGCCCUUGCAAACAUUUUUAUUCGUUUCCGAAAUCCCGUUCGAGUUAUCUCCCGCGAUAACUCAUAUGCAGACAGACUGAAUUUUCUCUAGCUGCAAAGUUAUGUACAUCGGCACUGACUGAUCAGUGAUGCAAGCCAGCAGAAACUUUACAUCAACAUCACCAAGAUGUGUCCGAUCUAUCGUACGAUUAUAUACUCAGCGAUUGAAAAGUCGUGAUCCUGGAUAGGAGAGGAGCGGAUCGUCAACAUGCAGGGUUGUUUUAAGAUCCGAAGCAAUGUUACACAGACAGAAGAAUAGGUGAAUGCUGCUCCAGUAUAUGUUGUAUAUAUGAUGGCUAUAACAAUAACAUACAUGUAUAUCACUUGGGAAAUCAUGCACAACAAACUGUCCAUAUGAUGAUACCAUGGUGACAAAAAUAUUUAAAUAUGGAGAGGGAUAAAGAGACAUGCUACAGAAGAAGGAAGAUAAAGGCACAUGAUACAGACACCAGAGUGAUUACACCAACAUCAGUCCAAUAACAUUGGUACACACUGAAACUUGAGACCACAAAGGCCUGGAUUCUUUUGAAAUAUACUGUCAUCUGUGCAAUAUCACUUGGAAUCAUGGAAAACUUGUAUCACAGUGUUAACAAUUUUCAGUGAAUUUUCAUUGUCUAGCAUAGAAAUAAUGAAUUUUAUGUUUGAAUAUAUA
Magallana angulata is the source of this 895-nucleotide long non-coding RNA. RefSeq lists it as uncharacterized. NCBI's taxonomy places the organism in Eukaryota, Metazoa, Mollusca, Bivalvia, Ostreida, Ostreidae. The record is from RefSeq and is a predicted model, not a curated record. The transcript is spliced from 3 exons.